AUGUCGUCCAUCGGCUCCUCUAACAUCGGCUUCCAGCUGCUGAAGAAGUCCGGGUGGAAGGAGGGCACCGGCCUCGGUGCGCAGGAGCAGGGGCGUUUGGAACCAGUAGAAACUCGUGUCAAGAACAACAAACGCGGUUUAGGUUCCAAAGAACCAAAGCCAAAGCCAAAGGUUGAGGAUGAUGUUGAAACAGCUCCUAGUAGAAGACCCAAGCAGGAUGCGCCGGUAACGAAGAAGGCAAAGUUGGCCGCAAAGAGGAUACGGAAGAUGCAGGAAGAGGAGAAGAAAGCACAAGAGAGGGAAUUCGAAAUUGCUUUCUUCAGGGAAUUUUGGCCUGAUAAUGUAUAA
RNAcentral lists this ribosomal RNA (348 nucleotides) under Triticum aestivum (bread wheat). RNAcentral's name for it is "partial small subunit ribosomal RNA". The record is from RNAcentral. Lineage: Eukaryota; Viridiplantae; Streptophyta; Magnoliopsida; Poales; Poaceae.